GACGUAGGGCGCGAGCGUUGUCCGGAUUUAUUGGGCGUAAAGAGCUCGUAGGCGGCUUGUUGCGUCGACUGUGAAAACCUGCGGCUCAACCGUGUGGUCUGCAGUCGAUACGGGCAGGCUGGAGUUCGGUAGGGGAGACUGGAAUUCCUGGUGUAGCGGUGAAAUGCGCAGAUAUCAGGAGGAACACCGGUGGCGAAGGCGGCAUCCUGGACCGGUAUUGACGCUGAGGCGCGAAAGCUAGGGGAGCAAACGGG
Molecule: ribosomal RNA, 254 nt
Filed under: uncultured bacterium
Lineage: Bacteria
Description: partial 16S ribosomal RNA
Rfam family: Bacterial small subunit ribosomal RNA
Source: RNAcentral